Molecule: transfer RNA, 78 nt
Filed under: Bacillus phage vB_BanS_Chewbecca
Lineage: Duplodnaviria; Heunggongvirae; Uroviricota; Caudoviricetes
Description: tRNA-Phe
Rfam family: tRNA
About the family: Transfer RNA (tRNA) molecules are approximately 80 nucleotides in length. Their secondary structure includes four short double-helical elements and three loops (D, anti-codon, and T loops). Further hydrogen bonds mediate the characteristic L-shaped molecular structure. tRNAs have two regions of fundamental functional importance: the anti-codon, which is responsible for specific mRNA codon recognition, and the 3' end, to which the tRNAs corresponding amino acid is attached (by aminoacyl-tRNA synthetases). tRNAs cope with the degeneracy of the genetic code in two manners: having more than one tRNA (with a specific anti-codon) for a particular amino acid; and 'wobble' base-pairing, i.e. permitting non-standard base-pairing at the 3rd anti-codon position.
Source: RNAcentral
UGGCUUGGUAGCUCAGUUGGUAGAGCAGAGGGCUGAAAAUCCUCGUGUCAGUGGUUCGAAUCCACUCCGAGCCAUAUU